This 499-nucleotide ribosomal RNA is filed under the name uncultured bacterium. RNAcentral describes it as "partial 16S ribosomal RNA". It matches the Rfam family "Bacterial small subunit ribosomal RNA", at positions 28 to 507 of the family's 1533-position model. The record is from RNAcentral.
GAUGAACGCUGGCGGCGUGCCUAAUACAUGCAAGUCGAGCGAACAGACGAGAGUGCUUGCACUCUCUGACGUUAGCGGCGGACGGGUGAGUAACACGUGGGUAACCUACCUAUAAGACUGGGAUAACUUCGGGAAACCGGAGCUAAUACCGGAUAAUAUUUAGCUUCGCAUGAAGCAAUAGUGAAAGACGGUUCUGCUGUCACUUAUAGAUGGACCCGCGGUGUAUUAGCUAGUUGGUGAGGUAACGGCUCACCAAGGCAACGAUACAUAGCCGACCUGAGAGGGUGAUCGGCCACACUGGGACUGAGACACGGCCCGGACUCCUACGGGAGGCAGCAGUAGGGAAUCUUCCGCAAUGGACGAAAGUCUGACGGAGCAAUGCCGCGUGAGUGAAGAAGGUUUUCGGAUCGUAAAACUCUGUUGUAAGGGAAGAACAAGUACGUUAGUAACUGAACGUACCUUGACGGUACCUUACCAGAAAGCCACGGCUAACUACGUG